AGGAUAAACGCUGGCGGCGUGCCUAACACAUGCAAGUCGAACGUCCUACGCAAGUAGGGAGUGGCGAACGGGUGAGUAACACGUGGGCAACCUGCCCCUCACACUGGGAUAACCUCGGGAAACCGGGGCUAAUACCGGAUACGACCUCGAGCGGCAUCUCUUGAGGUGGAAAGCUCCGACGGUGAGGGAUGGGCCCGCGGCCUAUCAGCUUGUUGGUGGGGUAAUGGCCUACCAAGGCGACGACGGGU
Molecule: ribosomal RNA, 248 nt
Filed under: uncultured bacterium
Lineage: Bacteria
Description: partial small subunit ribosomal RNA
Rfam family: Bacterial small subunit ribosomal RNA
Source: RNAcentral